Molecule: ribosomal RNA, 544 nt
Filed under: uncultured Ascomycota
Lineage: Eukaryota; Fungi; Ascomycota
Description: SSU rRNA
Rfam family: Eukaryotic small subunit ribosomal RNA
Source: RNAcentral
UUGGAGGGCAAGUCUGGUGCCAGCAGCCGCGGUAAUUCCAGCUCCAAUAGCGUAUAUUAAAGUUGUUGUGGUUAAAAAGCUCGUAGUUGAACCUUGGGCCUGGCUGGCCGGUCCACCUCACCGCGUGUACUGGUCCGGCCGGGCCUUUCCCUCUGUGGAACCCCAUGCCCUUCACUGGGUGUGGCGGGGAAACAGGACUUUUACUGUGAAAAAAUUAGAGUGCUCCAGGCAGGCCUAUGCUCGAAUACAUUAGCAUGGAAUAAUAGAAUAGGACGUGUGGUUCUAUUUUGUUGGUUUCUAGGACCGCCGUAAUGAUUAAUAGGGACAGUCGGGGGCAUCAGUAUUCAAUUGUCAGAGGUGAAAUUCUUGGAUUUAUUGAAGACUAACUACUGCGAAAGCAUUUGCCAAGGAUGUUUUCAUUAAUCAGGAACGAAAGUUAGGGGAUCGAAGACGAUCAGAUACCGUCGUAGUCUUAACCAUAAACUAUGCCGACUAGGGAUCGGACGAUGUUAUAUUUUGACUCGUUCGGCGCCUUACGGGAAAC